GGACCCUUGUAGCUUUUCUUGAAUUGAUGCAGUUUAAAUUAUUUGCCCUGGUUAAAUAGAUUCCCUGGGAGUGGGACAGCCAUGUCCCACAAAGGCAGUGAAGAUCUAUGAUAGCAGUAAGAGAGACUAUUCAUAACUGAAUCCCAGACCACUCUUAUGAGUCUUCAAGACUUGCCAGUUGGUUUGAACUCUAGAUUGAAUUUUGAACUGAGAGGAAGUUUAGCUCCCUGAACUGAACCUUCUGAGCCUAGGGGAAGGAGAGUGGGGUUCAUGAUGAGGCCAAAGGGGAUAAUUUGGUGUCUAUGAAGGGCUGAUGAUAUCAGAAGAGUCUGAACAGAGCCUGCUCUACCAGCAACCUUAUACCUGAUUAAUCUGAUAGAGAGUAAAGAGAAAACCCAGAAGAUAUACCUGCUGUUCUCCUUCACACUGCUGGCUCACCCUAACUCCAAUCCCUCCUCUUGGCUUUGAGGCAGCAGAAAGAUAUUGUUUGCUGUUGAGCCCCAGGAAUCUCUCUCUAGGAAUCUCUCAACUGAGAUACUUCAAAGUUCAACCUAGUGGCCAUAGGCUGGGUCCCAACACCCAAGAGAGAAUCCAGAAUGAGGCUUCACAUAUGCUGCUGUGUUCAAAGCAUCCAGUUGGAGAAAUAGAUUUCCUGAAGCAGAGCUGGAGCACCUGGCUCCUUCAUGGGAGAUGAGAGGCACAGAUGCCAGCUUGGUAAGCAACCGGCCCACCUGCUAACCCGCCCAGGGUAGAACUUCUGAUGUUUUCUCUUAGUAGACACUGGGGUUUCUAUUGAGAGAGGUGGGGUAGUCAGCAGUGAUAGAAUGACAGACUUGUCAAUUAACAUUUUAAAGAGAAAGCAAAAGGUCUGAAAGGGAAACUUUGAAAGAUCUUUCCCCCAAGUGAACAAUUUUGAUGUCAAGGAAAUUAAGAGGGCUGGACAAGAAGUUAGGAGACUCAAGCCCUAAUCUAGGGUAUUUCAUAGAUUUGCAAUAUAACCAUAGGCAGUCACUUUAACCUUGGACUUUAGUUUCCUCAUCUGAAAAAUGAGGGGGAAGAAUUCUAUUACCGUUGGCUCUACAAUUCCAUAGGAGCACAGAUUUAGAUAUGGAAGGGACUGAGGUAGUAAUCAACUGAAACCCAGAGAGGAUAAAUAACUUGUCCAGGAUCACAAAGAUAGUAAGUAGAUAUUUUAGGACUUUAAUUCAGUUCUUGU
This 1216-nucleotide long non-coding RNA is filed under the name Monodelphis domestica (gray short-tailed opossum). Its description in RNAcentral is "lncRNA (ENSMODG00000051138.1)". Lineage: Eukaryota; Metazoa; Chordata; Mammalia; Didelphimorphia; Didelphidae. The record is from RNAcentral.